GAAACCAACAGGGAUUGCCUCAGUAACGGCGAGUGAAGCGGCAAAAGCUCAAAUUUGAAACCCUCGGGAUUGUAAUUUGAAGAUUUGGCAUUGGAGAAAGCUAACCCAAGUUGCUUGGAAUAGUACGUCAUAGAGGGUGACAACCCCGUCUGGCUAACCGUUCUCCAUGUAUUGCCUUAUCAAAGAGUCGAGUUGUUUGGGAAUGCAGCUCAAAGUGGGUGGUAAACUCCAUCUAAAGCUAAAUACUGGUGAGAGACCGAUAGCGAACAAGUACUGUGAAGGAAAGGUGAAAAGAACUUUGAAAAGAGAGUGAAAUAGUAUGUGAAAUUGUUGAUAGGGAAGGAAAUGAGUGGAGAGUGGCCGAGGUUUCAGCCGCCCCUCGUGGGCGGUGUACUGCCGACGCCGAGUCAUCGAUAGCGAGACGAGGGUUACAAAUGGGAGCGCCUUCGGGCGUUCUCCCCUAACCCUCCACACUG
RNAcentral lists this ribosomal RNA (476 nucleotides) under Yarrowia lipolytica. RNAcentral's name for it is "eukaryotic LSU rRNA". It matches the Rfam family "Eukaryotic large subunit ribosomal RNA", at positions 61 to 517 of the family's 3401-position model. The record is from RNAcentral. Lineage: Eukaryota; Fungi; Ascomycota; Dipodascomycetes; Dipodascales.